Molecule: non-coding RNA, 1003 nt
Organism: Ciona intestinalis (vase tunicate)
Lineage: Eukaryota; Metazoa; Chordata; Ascidiacea; Phlebobranchia; Cionidae
Source: RefSeq, a predicted model, not a curated record
UAUUAUGUGCUAAAGGUGUCCCAUCUUCCCCACCCUACUAUACCAGUCUAUACAAAAUGUUUGUUUUGGUUUGAUAUGUUUCUAGUUAAAUACAGUGCAAUGCCACCACCAAAAUAGUCGACAUUGUUGCAAAAGUGUUUUAGUAAUUCUGCAUUUUGUGAGAUUGAGACGCGAACAACUGACUAUAGUUUGUAGCCGGGCGUUCAAAUUUUCUCUUACCAAAUAUAUAUUUCGCAUCAAAUGAUCACUUUUAACUAAGUCUUAAAUGGUUUAACAGCCACGCAUUUCUGCUGAACUAUUUUAUUUAUUCUUAGUCUGUUUUAGCGACUGUCGUUUUGCUGUUAAUUUAUCUUUCGCCAUGUUUAUAAAAGACCUCCGUUAUUACGAUUGAAGGGAUAAAACAUAUUUUAAUAUUUAAUACUAUGCUCAGAGUUUUCAAAACAAUGUCCGUUUCAAUGGUCUUUAUACAUACUACAUUUUUUCAAUAUAGUCUUGUGACUGGAACAAUAGUAACAAACAACAAUUAACUCUUUACUUUGUUGCAAUAGCUUUUGCAGAUAGCAAACAUAAUAUUUAUCAUAAAGUUUAACAUGUAAAGACCCGAUACAAUAAACAUAAACAUUGCCGAGUCAAAAUCCACGGAAAUGUUCUUCUUCUUUGAACAAUAUCUUUCGGAAAUCGUGACGGCGCGGACAUUUUCUGUGACUUGGUUAUAUUAGAACUAACAUUAGUUUGCACAGAUGAAUAGAUCAGCGCUUCUCUUGCUUCUCGUCGGACUUGUGGUUCCCGCAAAAGCUUCCAACGCUGUUGAUGAUGAUGGUGUUGUUUGGAGUCGAUAUAAUUGGAGUUGGAAGGGACAAGACGACCAAAAAGUCCUAGAAGACGCAAGUUUGGAAGAGUUACACGAUGCUCUUGAUUUUCUAUACUCUCAAGAAUAGUUAAAUACUAAUUAGACGAUCAAAUACGCAUAAAUGGUUGCCAGUAAAAUAAACCAUCUCGGUAC